GUUGUAUGGUUAAGUGACUAAGCGUACACGGUGGAUGCCUUGGCAGUCAGAGGCGAUGAAAGACGUAGUAACUUGCGAUAAGCCCAGAUUAGGUAGUAACAACCAUUUGAGUCUGGGAUUUCUGAAUGGGGAAACCCACGUGCAUAAGCACGUAUCCUUACCUGAAUACAUAGGGUAAGGAGGCGAACCGGGGGAACUGAAACAUCUAAGUACCCCGAGGAAAAGAAAUCAACCGAGAUUCCGAAAGUAGCGGCGAGCGAAAUUGGACUAGCCCUUAAGCUUUACACGCGUUAGACGAACGGUCUGGAAAGUCCGACGAUACAGGGUGAUAGUCCCGUAGUUGACGACGUGUGUUCAGUGAAAUCGAGUAGGGCGGGACACGUGAUAUCCUGUCUGAAUAUGGGGGGACCAUCCUCCAAGGCUAAAUACUACUGACUGACCGAUAGUGAACCAGUACCGUGAGGGAAAGGCGAAAAGAACCCCUGUGAGGGGAGUGAAAUAGAACCUGAAACCGUGUACGUACAAGCAGUAGGAGCACCUUCGUGGUGUGACUGCGUACCUUUUGUAUAAUGGGUCAGCGACUUAUAUUCAGUGGCAAGGUUAACCAUCUAGGGGAGCCGUAGGGAAACCGAGUCUUAACUGGGCGUUCAGUCUCUGGAUAUAGACCCGAAACCAGGUGAUCUAGCCAUGGGCAGGUUGAAGGUUGAGUAACAUCAACUGGAGGACCGAACCGACUAAUGUUGAAAAAUUAGCGGAUGACUUGUGGCUAGGGGUGAAAGGCCAAUCAAACCUGGAGAUAGCUGGUUCUCCCCGAAAGCUAUUUAGGUAGCGCCUCGGACGAAUACUACUGGGGGUAGAGCACUGUUAAGGCUAGGGGGUCAUCCCGACUUACCAACCCUUUGCAAACUCCGAAUACCAGUAAGUACUAUCCGGGAGACACACGGCGGGUGCUAACGUCCGUCGUGGAGAGGGAAACAACCCAGACCGCCAGCUAAGGUCCCAAAUUACUACUAAGUGGGAAACGAUGUGGGAAGGCUCAGACAGCCAGGAUGUUGGCUUAGAAGCAGCCAUCAUUUAAAGAAAGCGUAAUAGCUCACUGGUCGAGUCGGCCUGCGCGGAAGAUGUAACGGGGCUAAGUAGUAAACCGAAGCUGCGGCAAUAUACUUUUGUAUAUUGGGUAGGGGAGCGUUCUGUAAGCGGUUGAAGGUGUGUGGUAACGCAUGCUGGACGUAUCAGAAGUGCGAAUGCUGACAUGAGUAACGAUAAAGGGGGUGAAAAACCUCCUCGCCGGAAGACCAAGGGUUCCUGUCCAACGUUAAUCGGGGCAGGGUAAGUCGACCCCUAAGGCGAGGCCGAAAGGCGUAGUCGAUGGGAAACGGGUUAAUAUUCCCGUACUUCUUACAAUUGCGAUGGGGGGACGGAGAAGGCUAGGUGGGCCUGGCGACGGUUGUCCAGGUUCAAGUGCGUAGGCUUGAGAGUUAGGUAAAUCCGGCUCUCUUUAAGGCUGAGACACGACGUCGAGCAUCUACGGAUGUGAAGUCAUUGAUGCCAUGCUUCCAGGAAAAGCCUCUAAGCUUCAGAUUGUAAGGAAUCGUACCCCAAACCGACACAGGUGGUCGGGUAGAGAAUACCAAGGCGCUUGAGAGAACUCGGGUGAAGGAACUAGGCAAAAUGGUACCGUAACUUCGGGAGAAGGUACGCUCUCGACGGUGAAGUCCCUCGCGGAUGGAGCUAUUGAGAGUCGCAGAUACCAGGUGGCUGCAACUGUUUAUUAAAAACACAGCACUGUGCAAAAUCGUAAGAUGACGUAUACGGUGUGACGCCUGCCCGGUGCCGGAAGGUUAAUUGAUGGGGUUAGACUUCGGUCGAAGCUCUUGAUCGAAGCCCCGGUAAACGGCGGCCGUAACUAUAACGGUCCUAAGGUAGCGAAAUUCCUUGUCGGGUAAGUUCCGACCUGCACGAAUGGCGUAAUGAUGGCCACGCUGUCUCCACCCGAGACUCAGUGAAAUUGAAAUCGCUGUGAAGAUGCAGUGUACCCGCGGCUAGACGGAAAGACCCCGUGAACCUUUACUACAGCUUGGCACUGAACAUUGACCCUACAUGUGUAGGAUAGGUGGGAGGCUUUGAAGCACGUACGCCAGUAUGUGUGGAGCCGUCCUUGAAAUACCACCCUUGUAGUGUUGAUGUUCUAACGUCGACCCCUUAUCGGGGUUGCGGACAGUGCCUGGUGGGUAGUUUGACUGGGGCGGUCUCCUCCCAAAGAGUAACGGAGGAGCACGAAGGUGGGCUAAUCACGGUUGGACAUCGUGAGGUUAGUGCAAUGGCAUAAGCCCGCUUGACUGCGAGAAUGACAAUUCGAGCAGGUGCGAAAGCAGGUCAUAGUGAUCCGGUGGUUCUGAAUGGAAGGGCCAUCGCUCAACGGAUAAAAGGUACUCCGGGGAUAACAGGCUGAUACCGCCCAAGAGUUCAUAUCGACGGCGGUGUUUGGCACCUCGAUGUCGGCUCAUCACAUCCUGGGGCUGAAGUCGGUCCCAAGGGUAUGGCUGUUCGCCAUUUAAAGUGGUACGCGAGCUGGGUUUAGAACGUCGUGAGACAGUUCGGUCCCUAUCUGCCGUGGGCGUUGGAAGAUUGAAGGGGGCUGCUCCUAGUACGAGAGGACCGGAGUGGACGAACCUCUGGUGUUCGGGUUGUGUCGCCAGACGCAUUGCCCGGUAGCUAAGUUCGGAAUCGAUAACCGCUGAAAGCAUCUAAGCGGGAAGCGAGCCCUGAGAUGAGUCUUCCCUGAUACUUUAAGUAUCCUAAAGGGUUGUCGGAGACUACGACGUUGAUAGGUCAGGUGUGUAAGUGCUGUGAGGCAUUGAGCUAACUGAUACUAAUUGCCCGUGAGGCUUAACCAUACAACACCCAAGGGGUUU
This 2915-nucleotide ribosomal RNA is filed under the name Vibrio parahaemolyticus. RNAcentral's name for it is "23S ribosomal RNA". It matches the Rfam family "Bacterial large subunit ribosomal RNA". Lineage: Bacteria; Pseudomonadati; Pseudomonadota; Gammaproteobacteria; Vibrionales; Vibrionaceae. The record is from RNAcentral.